UACGUAGGUGGCAAGCGUUGUCCGGAUUUAUUGGGUUUAAAGGGUGCGUAGGCGGUCUAUUAAGUCAGCGGUGAAAUCCUCCAGCUUAACUGGAGGGGUGCCAUUGAUACUGAUGGACUUGAGUCAAGUCGAGGUAGGCGGAAUUGACGGUGUAGCGGUGAAAUGCUUAGAUAUCGGGAGGAACACCGGUGGCGAAGGCGGCGACCUGGGUAGAUACUGACGCUGAGGCACGAAAGCGUGGGGAGCAAACAGG
This 253-nucleotide ribosomal RNA is filed under the name uncultured bacterium. RNAcentral describes it as "partial 16S ribosomal RNA". It matches the Rfam family "Bacterial small subunit ribosomal RNA", at positions 524 to 776 of the family's 1533-position model. The record is from RNAcentral.